This 1449-nucleotide small RNA is filed under the name Pongo abelii (Sumatran orangutan). Its description in RNAcentral is "retained intron". The stretch from base 624 to 708 matches the Rfam family "Small nucleolar RNA U13". The record is from RNAcentral. Lineage: Eukaryota; Metazoa; Chordata; Mammalia; Primates; Hominidae.
GCGCUUUCCUGCAGCUAAGAUGGCGACGGAGCAUCCCGAGCCUCCCAAAGCGGAAUUGCAGCUGCCGCCGCCGCCACCUCCGGGCCACUAUGGCGCCUGGGCUGCCCAGGAGCUUCAGGCCAAGUUGGCAGAGAUCGGAGCUCCGAUCCAGGGUAAUCGCGAGGAGCUGGUGGAGCGGCUGCAGACCUACACCCGCCAGGUAGGUGUUGGCGGCGGGACGUCAGGAUAGGCCGAGCUUCUCCAGGAGACCUUAUAUACCCCAUCACAGCUCGGUCUUCAUUCUUUCUUUAUCUCGGCACAGCAAGGCGGAGGCUUGCCCUUUUUGGCUUGUUCUUGCCUUUGCCAGCUUAGUUGUAAUUUCUUGUAUCCCUCUUGGUCCUCUUCAGUGACCAGCCAGGGCGCUGGCAGACAGGCACUGGGUACGUUUUGUUGAAUGAAUUGGGAGCGAACGUCGUUGAGUGAAACAGCUAGUUUUGGACUGACCUAGAGUCCUUUCUCUUUUUCAGACUGGCAUCGUGCUGAAUCGGCCGGUUUUGAGAGGGGAAGAUGGGGACAAAGCCGCUCCACCUCCCAUGUCAGCACAGGUAGGGAGGUUCUUCCAUUUUUUAAGAUUCCAUCUGCUGAUCCUUUUGUAGUUCAUAAGCAUGAUGAUUGGGUGUUCACGUGCAUGUGUGAGAUGUGACACCCUUGCACAUUACUUGCCUGACCUGAGUGGGGAAAAAAAAAGAUUCCAUAUGUUCAGGGUAGCCCUUUUCUCACUUGCAGUGUUGGUCAGGGAGGUACUGCCAUGACAGAAUUGUGAGCUCUUCAGUUCUCUCUUUGAUGCUGAUACUUGCCUCCUUUUCCACUGUCUGCUUCUCCAAAAGCAGCUUGUGGCCGGGUGCAGUGGCGCAUGCCUCCUGUAAUCCCACCACUUCGGGAUGCUUAGAUGGGAGGAUCGCUUGAAGCCAGGAGUUCGAGACCAGCCUGGGCAACAUAGUGAGACUCUGUUACUACAAAAAAAUUUUAAAAAUUAGCUGGGCACGGUGGCACGCGCCUAUAAAGUCCCUAUAAAGAGGCUCAAGGAUUGCUUGAGCCCUGGGGUUGGAGGCUGCAGUGAGCUCUGGUUGUGCCACUGUACUCCAUGUACUCCAUCCUGGGUGACAGAAUGAGACUUUGCUUCUUUAAAAAAAAAAAAAAUGGGGGGGUGAUGGGGGAGGGGCUGGGAGAGUGUCAGAAAAAAUAGCUAAUGCAUGCCAGGCUUAAUACUUAGGCAGUGGGUUGAUAGGUGCAGCAAACCACCAUGACACACAUUUGCCUAUGUAACGAACCUGCACAUACUGCACAUGUACCCCAAAACUUAGAAUAAAAUAAAAUUAAACCAAAAAAUAGGAAAAAAAAAAAAAAAAGAGGCAGGGCAUGGUGGCUCAUGUCUGUAAUCCCAGCACUUUGGGAGGCCAAGGCGGGUGG